This 432-nucleotide ribosomal RNA is filed under the name uncultured bacterium. Its description in RNAcentral is "partial 16S ribosomal RNA". It matches the Rfam family "Bacterial small subunit ribosomal RNA", at positions 29 to 506 of the family's 1533-position model. The record is from RNAcentral.
AACGAACGCUGGCGGCAUGCCUAACACAUGCAAGUCGAACGAGACCUUCGGGUCUAGUGGCGCACGGGUGCGUAACGCGUGGGAACCUGCCCUUAGGUUCGGAAUAACUCCCCGAAAGGGGUGCUAAUACCGGAUAAUGUCUUCGGACCAAAGAUUUAUCGCCUUUGGAUGGGCCCGCGUUGGAUUAGCUAGUUGGUAGGGUAAAAGCCUACCAAGGCGACGAUUCAUAGCUGGUCUGAGAGGAUGAUCAGCCACACUGGGACUGAGACACGGCCCAGACUCCUACGGGAGGCAGCAGUGGGGAAUAUUGGACAAUGGGCGAAAGCCUGAUCCAGCAAUGCCGCGUGAGUGAUGAAGGCCUUAGGGUUGUAAAGCUCUUUUACCCGGGAUGAUAAGGACAGUACCGGGAGAAUAAGCUCCGGCUAACUCCGU